GACGUAGGGCGCAAGCGUUGUUCGGAUUUACUGGGCGUAAAGGGCGCGUAGGCGGCCACCGCAAGUCGACUGUGAAAUCUCCGGGCUUAACCCGGAAAGGUCAGCCGAUACUGCGGGGCUAGAGUGCAGAAGGGGCAACUGGAAUUCUCGGUGUAGCGGUGAAAUGCGUAGAUAUCGAGAGGAACACCUGCGGCGAAGGCGGGUUGCUGGGCUGACACUGACGCUGAGGCGCGAAAGCUAGGGGAGCGAACGGG
This 254-nucleotide ribosomal RNA is filed under the name uncultured bacterium. RNAcentral describes it as "partial 16S ribosomal RNA". It matches the Rfam family "Bacterial small subunit ribosomal RNA", at positions 524 to 776 of the family's 1533-position model. The record is from RNAcentral.